RNAcentral lists this small RNA (273 nucleotides) under uncultured Anaerobiospirillum sp. RNAcentral's name for it is "5' ureB small RNA". It matches the Rfam family "5' ureB small RNA". The record is from RNAcentral. Lineage: Bacteria; Pseudomonadati; Pseudomonadota; Gammaproteobacteria; Aeromonadales; Succinivibrionaceae.
CUGUUGUGGCGAAAUCAGGUGCACGUGGGAGUCAAUGGCACCAGCGGUCACGAUUAAGCCCUCACCGGCAAUGAUCUCGGUGCUGGGGCCAAUGAUCAUGGUGACAUGGGGCUGCACUUGGGGGUUACCCGCCUUACCUAAGGCGGCAAUACGACCGUUCUUGAUGCCGAUGUCGCACUUAAAGAUGCCUGCUGCAUCCAGCACCACGGCGUUGGUGAUCACCGUAUCCAUGCUGAUUUCAGCCAGCGCUUGGCUUUGGCCCAUGCCAUCACG